RNAcentral lists this ribosomal RNA (864 nucleotides) under uncultured archaeon. RNAcentral describes it as "bacterial SSU rRNA". It matches the Rfam family "Archaeal small subunit ribosomal RNA", at positions 39 to 909 of the family's 1478-position model. The record is from RNAcentral.
UGAUACUAAGCCAUGCGAGUCGUUGUAGCAAUACAAGGCAUACGGCUCAGUAACGCGUAGUCAACCUAACCUAUGGACGGGAAUAACCUCGGGAAACUGAGAAUAAUGCCCGAUAGAACAUUAUGCCUGGAAUGGUUUAUGUUCCAAAUGAUUUAUCGCCGUAGGAUGGGACUGCGGCCUAUCAGUUUGUUGGUGAGGUAAUGGCCCACCAAGACUAUUACAGGUACGGGCUCUGAGAGGAGUAGCCCGGAGAUGGGUACUGAGACACGGACCCAGGCCCUAUGGGGCGCAGCAGGCGAGAAAACUUUGCAAUGUGCGAAAGCACGACAAGGUUAAUCCGAGUGGUUUCUGCUAAAGGAACCUUUUGUCAGUCCUAGAAACACUGAUGAAUAAGGGGUGGGCAAGUUCUGGUGUCAGCCGCCGCGGUAAAACCAGCACCUCAAGUGGUCAGGAUGAUUAUUGGGCCUAAAGCAUCCGUAGCCGGCUCUGUAAGUUUUCGGUUAAAUCUGUACGCUCAACGUACAGGCUGCCGGGAAUACUGCAAAGCUAGGGAGUGGGAGAGGUAGACGGUACUCGGUAGGAAGGGGUAAAAUCCUUUGAUCUAUUGAUGACCACCUGUGGCGAAGGCGGUCUACCAGAACACGUCCGACGGUGAGGGAUGAAAGCUGGGGGAGCAAACCGGAUUAGAUACCCGGGUAGUCCCAGCUGUAAACCAUGCAAACUCAGUGAUGCAUUGGCUUGUGGCCAAUGCAGUGCCGCAGGGAAGCCGUUAAGUUUGCCGCCUGGGAAGUACGUACGCAAGUAUGAAACUUAAAGGAAUUGGCGGGGGAGCACCACAAGGGGUGAAGCCUGCGGUUCAAUUGG